RNAcentral lists this transfer RNA (71 nucleotides) under Camelus bactrianus (Bactrian camel). It matches the Rfam family "tRNA". From Rfam's summary of the family: Transfer RNA (tRNA) molecules are approximately 80 nucleotides in length. Their secondary structure includes four short double-helical elements and three loops (D, anti-codon, and T loops). The record is from Rfam by way of RNAcentral. RNAcentral also lists the same sequence under 1 other name. Lineage: Eukaryota; Metazoa; Chordata; Mammalia; Artiodactyla; Camelidae.
GAAGGUAUAGUUCAGUGGUAGAAUGUGUGCUCCGUAUGCAUGAGGUCCUGGGUUCAAUCCCUAGUACCUCG